Molecule: ribosomal RNA, 253 nt
Filed under: uncultured bacterium
Lineage: Bacteria
Description: partial 16S ribosomal RNA
Rfam family: Bacterial small subunit ribosomal RNA
Source: RNAcentral
UACGGGGGGGGCAAGCGUUGUUCGGAAUUACUGGGCGUAAAGGGUUCGUAGGUGGCCAACUAAGUCAGACGUGAAAUCCCUCAGCUUAACUGGGGAACUGCGUCUGAUACUGGUUGGCUUGAGUGCAGGAGAGGAACGCGGAAUUCCAGGUGUAGCGGUGAAAUGCGUAGAUAUCAGGAGGAACACCGGUGGCGAAGGCGGGAUCCUGGGCCAGUACUGACGCUGAGGAGCGAAAGCGUGGGGAGCAAACAGG